AAAGCUCCAAGGAAGACACCAAACCCAGCCUAUGGUCGUUUGUUCACAUAAACGUAACAAAAUUAAAAAGUGGAAGUUGGAAAUAUGAGUGUCAACGAGAGGUAACUGACAAAAAGAUACUCUUUCAAGUAAGUCAGGAUAAACUUUUAAAAUAAUUCUUUUUACUUGAAAGCAAAAAGGGUAUGAUAAUUUAUUAUGUUACACUGUGGCCAUUUAGUAAAUCUGAUGGUGUGUUAAUGUGAAGCCUUUUUUCUGUUGUUAGAUUGUGAUGGUCCUAUUGAAUUUUAGGUACAUAGUAUAAGAUUUAUUCAACAGUCUCCCCUUCACAACAGGAAAUCCUAAGAAGAAUGUUAAGAAAUGUAAGGGUCACAGUUUCGGCCACCCUUGCUUCAGCUUACCGUCAACACAAAGUCAAGUUGAUUGCAUAAUUAAUGAAAUGAAAGAAGUGAAGUUAGGAUGCUUGUGGUGUUGAAUUAUAAUAUUUAGGGUUAAGUUGAUGGACUAGCGUUUUAGGAUAUUCAUAUGGAGACCAUCAAUUUGUCUUUGAUGGUUCUGUGACACUUUCAUCUGGAAGGUACUGUACAUGUUAAGUUUGAUGCUUUUUUUUAUUUAAAAAAGGGACUCAUUCAUUUCUUUAUAGGAUGUUGCAUAUGUAUACCUUUUCAAUGCCAGGUACUCUAUAAUUACAGUAUCUCAUGGAUUGUGGAUUCUUUUCCUCUAAUACAAUUUGAUGUGUUAUCUAAGUGAACUUCAUUAAUCCAAAUCAAACAUAUCUAACAUCAAUACAUGUGCACUUAGCAUUACUCAUACACAUUGAAUGAUAUUUUUUCCCUUUUCUUCUUAUGCAGCACUUACAUUAUAGGUAAUUAUUGCCUAUAUUGCAACAUAUGCAGAUAUAUGUAGGUAGUAAUAUCGCCUAUAUUGAUCAGUCUUGUUACUAACUUAUUCAUCUGAGUACCAACUUGGUUCUGGCAAACUUACUAAUUUCUCAUGUUUAUAUGCGGCUCUUGCCUUGAUCAUAAACAGAAGUAUGAACAAUCUGACCAUACUUUUUCUUUUGUUGAGAAAGAAUACUUUAUCAUCAAUAUUUGUUUAUCAAAUAAUAACCAUC
Molecule: long non-coding RNA, 1111 nt
Filed under: Nicotiana tabacum (common tobacco)
Lineage: Eukaryota; Viridiplantae; Streptophyta; Magnoliopsida; Solanales; Solanaceae
Description: long non-coding RNA (NTAB_LNC012066)
Source: RNAcentral